This 1109-nucleotide long non-coding RNA is filed under the name Homo sapiens (human). RNAcentral describes it as "HSALNT0327944". Lineage: Eukaryota; Metazoa; Chordata; Mammalia; Primates; Hominidae. The record is from RNAcentral.
CUCCACUCCGAGGCUCAGGGAGCAAGUGCCUGGCAUGGGGGGUAAAAGUUGGCUUUUUUUUUACUCCUUGGUCUUUUGCGCCCUUCUCCCUCUCCCCAGAAGGGAAGACCCAUUUAAACUAUUUUAGACGCAAUCAACCAAGAAUCACCAUGUGGAAUUGAGCGGCAGUUUUAAAUGUGUUGAGCAGGGGAGAGGAAUGAUGAGAAAAACAUUUUUUUUUUUUUUUUUGGAGACGCCGAAAGAAGCCUGUUUGUGUGCUGCGGCCGUGCUGUGACUUUGGAUCUUGUCUUUCAGCCGGCGCCUCGGUUCCUGCCCAGCUGGAUUUGGGGGGCAGCAUUGCCUGGCGCAGGGAGAUCAAAUGAGACUGCAAAGAAGCAUAAAAUGAAUAGACAAUCCAACCAACCAAAGACCACACCUUAUCUGGUUGCUAAUGAAAUACAGGAGAUUGAUUGCAGAAAAUCUUCAAGGGAAUAUUUGCUGUACCACAUAUAGAAAUUGCUUUGGAGAUGAGGAAACAAACUCUUAUGGAGACCUAAGAGACUGAAGACAUCUGGCGUGGACUACUCUGAUGGUAAAAUUGAAAGUACACCUAAAUUUGCUUUGUUACAGGAUUCUCUUCAGAGGACAAGAGAAGAUGUUACAUUCUCUGCAUGAGGACAAUUCUGCAGCAUCAAAAUCGAAUAAUAUUUGUUUUCUGGCAGCAGAAUUUUGUAUCAUAUUUCUAAAGACAGUAAGCACUUGGGUGGACGUCAAUGAAUACUAAACACUAAUUGAUCUGAUACAGCCGUAUGCACAUACACAGAUAUACAUGGUGGCUUGUAAUGGUUGAAAAAUUACGGUUUGGUUUUAUUAAAAGAUCUGUCACUUUUAGGUCAGAGUGGGAUUUUGGAGGGAUAGUCUCCCACAAUAGAAAACUACCCUGACAACAGUGGUGUUUUGAGGUUGUUUGUUGUUUGGCUUCUUGAUGAUGCUUAGCUAAGGAGACACUUCCUUUCAGAUUCUGUCUUCCAAACCCCAGGGCUCUGUUCUGGGCAGUUCAGCCUAAUGGAAUUAAGCCUGACAUGUUUCAACUCUAUUUCUUGAUAAAAUAAACAUAAAACAAUGGUUUA